UUUUUAGAAGAGAGUGAAGUAGCACCAACAAAAGAUGCAGAUGUUGAUGUUGUGACAGAGCUAGCGGCAGUGGAACCAACUACCGUAGAAGAAUCGGAUAAAUGUGGCAUCAUUAUCUGUUAUGUGUAUUGUGAAGCUGGAUAUGUCAAAGAUGAGAACGGUUGCCACACCUGUACUUGUAUACCAGAGAGUGAAGUAGCGCCAACAAAAGAUGCAGAUGUUGAAGUUGUGACAGAGCUAGCGGCAGUGGAACCAACUACUGUAGAAGAAUCGGAUAAAUGUGGCACGUUUGUCUGCUAUUUGUAUUGUCCAGCUGGAUAUGUCAAAGAUGAGAAUGGUUGCUACACCUGUAAUUGUACACAAG
Molecule: long non-coding RNA, 364 nt
Organism: Anneissia japonica
Lineage: Eukaryota; Metazoa; Echinodermata; Crinoidea; Comatulida; Comatulidae
Exons: 4
Source: RefSeq, a predicted model, not a curated record